UUCCCUCCCGUCCAAGACUGAAGACUACCGCUGAAACACUCUGACGCACGGUUUCAUUGUGACGGAAGUCGUCAACCGCUCAAACGCUCUCCAAAAGCUCCGUCGCGGCCUGGGGAUGACGGCAACAACGCUCCGCCUUCAGAUCUGUCUCAAAGGCUCAAAGGAUUCUUUAAUUUGUUUGUCCCAUAGGACUGCCUUUUGCCGUAGUAAAGGGUCACAGGUAAUUUUAAAGCUAGGGGAGUUGCGGAAUACCAAAGUAUUUGGAUGCUGACUGGAUGAGAACUGAUGUUAUUGGCAGUAGAAGGAGGGGGUUUCUUCUCUUCUUCAGCUUCUGGGUAUAGCAAAGGCCUUGCCCUUCUUCCGUUAAGGUUGGUUCUACUCAGCACCUAAACCCUAGUUCUGCAAUACCUCUGAUCUGUUGAGGGUGCCCUUAAAAAUAAGAGGCAAUAUGUGAAAAGAGUAAUGAUGUCUCUGGUCAUACUGAGAGAAAGAAACUAUAAUGGACAGAUACAUUUGGCGGUGAGCUUUUUGAGGUCCAAGAAUUUGAGCUUUGGUAUGAAUUCUAGAUCCUUCAAUAUUCUUUCAAGUGCAAGUAAGUUCAUAAUAUUUAUCUUGCUUAUUGCUGAACUUUGUUGGAACUUUCUUAAUGUUGUGAGACUACUUAGGAACUACUUCAUGUUAAAUAUGUGUUUGGGACUUGUGAAGGUUUUAUUGUGAACCCAUUUAGAUAGGGGAAAUAUGUUGUGUAGAUUUUAUUAUAUUUCUAUAUGUUGUGUGAGGAUUGGGAAAUAAACUUUUGAAUUUGUUAAAAACUGAAUGCAGGCCACAGUUGAUGAAAUAAAGAGUAUGUUUUCAACUGUUAGCUUUGUAUGGGAUGUGUUUAUUCCUCAAAAUGCAGAGACAUGUUUGUCUAAGGGUCAAAAAAUCAAGAUGAGGGAGAAAAAAGGUGAUUAGCUGAAGAACAAGGCACGGAUUUUUGAGAUUAAAUUGGAGCUAACCGGGUGAUCGACUAAAUGAUGAAAUACAAGCUCCUUCAUGAAGAUUAAUUACUUUAUGUUUUAUGAUUUUUUUUUUUUUUUUGUGUAUGGCAAUAGUGCAUUGGUUAAAUAUUUAUAGAUCGGACAUGAUUCUAUCUUUUUAUUGUAAAUAAUUUUAAUAUUUAAAUAUAUUUUCAUUUUGAAUUUA
Molecule: long non-coding RNA, 1185 nt
Organism: Ipomoea nil (Japanese morning glory)
Lineage: Eukaryota; Viridiplantae; Streptophyta; Magnoliopsida; Solanales; Convolvulaceae
Exons: 4
Source: RefSeq, a predicted model, not a curated record